GUGCGGGCUUAGCAUGUGACCUCAUUGCCUCUCACGAAAAUGGGUAUAACUUCUUGUUCAGGUAUUGGAUUAAGGUAAAAUUUGUAUCCUUGAAAAUAUGACUCAAUUAUCAACAAUUUGGUGGGUCUUGAGAUGAAAAUUCCACGUACAUCAAAUGUUAUUCACGUUCAAAGUAGACCCUUAUAUAAUCAAAUACCAAACUUGGACAAAUCAAAGGCUCUUAGCUCAACUUUGUUCUAAGUAAUUCUUAUGAACAUAUUUCAC
This 264-nucleotide long non-coding RNA is filed under the name Capsicum annuum. Its description in RNAcentral is "long non-coding RNA (CANN_LNC009303)". The record is from RNAcentral. Lineage: Eukaryota; Viridiplantae; Streptophyta; Magnoliopsida; Solanales; Solanaceae.